CAUGCAAGUCGAGGGGCAGCAUAAUGGAUAGCAAUAUCUAUGGUGGCGACCGGCGCACGGGUGCGUAACGCGUAUGCAACCUACCUUUAACAGGGGGAUAACACUGAGAAAUUGGUACUAAUACCCCAUAAUAUCAUAGAAGGCAUCUUUUAUGGUUGAAAAUUCCGAUGGUUAGAGAUGGGCAUGCGUUGUAUUAGCUAGUUGGUGGGGUAACGGCUCACCAAGGCGACGAUACAUAGGGGGACUGAGAGGUUAACCCCCCACGCUGGUACUGAGACACGGACCAGACUCCUACGGGAGGCAGCAGUGAGGAAUAUUGGUCAAUGGACGCAAGUCUGAACCAGCCAUGCCGCGUGCAGGAUGACGGCUCUAUGAGUUGUAAACUGCUUUUGUACGAGGGUAAACGCAGAUACGUGUAUCUGUCUGAAAGUAUCGUACGAAUAAGGAUCGGCUAACUCCGUGCCAGCAGCCGCGGUAAUACGGAGGAUUCAAGCGUUAUCCGGAUUUAUUGGGUUUAAAGGGUGCGUAGGCGGUUUGAUAAGUUAGAGGUGAAAUUUCGGGGCUCAACCCUGAACGUGCCUCUAAUACUGUUGAGCUAGAGAGUAGUUGCGGUAGGCGGAAUGUAUGGUGUAGCGGUGAAAUGCUUAGAGAUCAUACAGAACACCGAUUGCGAAGGCAGCUUACCAAACUAUAUCUGACGUUGAGGCACGAAAGCGUGGGGAGCAAACAGGAUUAGAUACCCUGGUAGUCCACGCAGUAAACGAUGAUAACUCGUUGUCGGCGAUACACAGUCGGUGACUAAGCGAAAGCGAUAAGUUAUCCACCUGGGG
This 830-nucleotide ribosomal RNA is filed under the name uncultured bacterium. Its description in RNAcentral is "bacterial SSU rRNA". It matches the Rfam family "Bacterial small subunit ribosomal RNA", at positions 54 to 878 of the family's 1533-position model. The record is from RNAcentral.